This 310-nucleotide ribosomal RNA is filed under the name uncultured bacterium. RNAcentral's name for it is "bacterial SSU rRNA". It matches the Rfam family "Bacterial small subunit ribosomal RNA", at positions 678 to 987 of the family's 1533-position model. The record is from RNAcentral.
GCAGUGAAAUGCGUAGAGAUGUGGAGGAAUACCGAUGGCGAAGGCAGCCUCCUGGGAUAACACUGACGUUCAUGCUCGAAAGCGUGGGUAGCAAACAGGAUUAGAUACCCUGGUAGUCCACGCCCUAAACGAUGUCAAUUAGCUGUUGGGCAACUUGAUUGCUUAGUAGCGUAGCUAACGCGUGAAAUUGACCGCCUGGGGAGUACGGUCGCAAGAUUAAAACUCAAAGGAAUUGACGGGGACCCGCACAAGCGGUGGAUGAUGUGGAUUAAUUCGAUGCAACGCGAAGAACCUUACCUGGUCUUGACAU